RNAcentral lists this ribosomal RNA (468 nucleotides) under uncultured bacterium. RNAcentral describes it as "partial 16S ribosomal RNA". It matches the Rfam family "Bacterial small subunit ribosomal RNA", at positions 28 to 507 of the family's 1533-position model. The record is from RNAcentral.
GACGAACGCUGGCGGCGUGCUUAACACAUGCAAGUCGAACGGAAAGGCUCCAGCUUGCUGGAGUACUCGAGUGGCGAACGGGUGAGUAACACGUGGGUGAUCUGCCCUGCACUUCGGGAUAAGCCUGGGAAACUGGGUCUAAUACCGGAUAGGACCGCACUUUGGUUUGUGUUGUGGAAAGGUUUUUCUGGUGUGGGAUGAGCUCGCGGCCUCUCAGUUUUUUGGUGGGGUAAUGGCCUAACAAGACGGCGACGGGUAGCCGGGCUGGGAGGGUGGAAGGUCACAUUGGGAAUGAGAUACGGGCCAGAAUCCUACGGGAGGCAGGAGUUGGGAAUAUUGCAAAAAGGGGGGAACCCUGAUGGAGGGACGCCGGGUGGGGGAUGAAGGCCUUCGGGUUGUAAAACCCUUUCGCUAGGGAAGAAGCUUUUUGUGACGGUACCUGGAGAAGAAGCACCGGCUAACUACGUG